AUUGAACGCUGGCGGCAUGCCUUACACAUGCAAGUCGAACGGCAGCACGGGGCAACCCUGGUGCGAGUGGCGAACGGGUGAGUAACGCAUCGGAACGUGCCCAGUAGUGGGGAUAACUAGUCGAAAGAUUAGCUAAUACCGCAUACGACCUAUGGGUGAAAGCGGGGACCUUUACGGCCUCGCGCUAUCGGAGCGGCCGAUGUCUGAUUAGCUAGUUGGCGGGGUAAAANCCCACCAAGGCGACGAUCAGUAGCUGGUCUGAGAGGACGACCAGCCACACUGGACUGAGACACGGCCCAGACUCCUACGGGAGGCAGCAGU
This 321-nucleotide ribosomal RNA is filed under the name uncultured bacterium. Its description in RNAcentral is "bacterial SSU rRNA". It matches the Rfam family "Bacterial small subunit ribosomal RNA", at positions 30 to 355 of the family's 1533-position model. The record is from RNAcentral.